AUUGAACGCUGGCGGCAGGCCUAACACAUGCAAGUCGAGCGGAUGAAGGGAGCUUGCUCCUGGAUUCAGCGGCGGACGGGUGAGUAAUGCCUAGGAAUCUGCCUGGUAGUGGGGGAUAACGUCCGGAAACGGGCGCUAAUACCGCAUACGUCCUGAGGGAGAAAGUGGGGGAUCUUCGGACCUCACGCUAUCAGAUGAGCCGAGGUCGGAUUAGCUAGUUGGUGGGGUAAAGGCCUACCAAGGCGACGAUCCGUAGCUGGUCUGAGAGGAUGAUCAGCCACACUGGAACUGAGACACGGUCCAGACUCCUACGGGAGGCAGCAGUGGGGAAUAUUGGACAAUGGGCGAAAGCCUGAUCCAGCCAUGCCGCGUGUGUGAAGAAGGUCUUCGGAUUGUAAAGCACUUUAAGUUGGGAGGAAGGGCAGUAAGUUAAUACCUUGCUGUUUUGACGUUACCAACAGAAUAAGCACCGGCUAACUUCGUG
RNAcentral lists this ribosomal RNA (484 nucleotides) under uncultured bacterium. RNAcentral describes it as "partial 16S ribosomal RNA". It matches the Rfam family "Bacterial small subunit ribosomal RNA", at positions 30 to 507 of the family's 1533-position model. The record is from RNAcentral.